RNAcentral lists this ribosomal RNA (490 nucleotides) under uncultured bacterium. Its description in RNAcentral is "partial 16S ribosomal RNA". It matches the Rfam family "Bacterial small subunit ribosomal RNA", at positions 30 to 507 of the family's 1533-position model. The record is from RNAcentral.
AUUGAACGCUGGCGGCAGGCCUAACACAUGCAAGUCGAAUGGUAACAGGAAACAGCUUGCUGUUUCUCUGACGAGUGGCGGACGGGUGAGUAAUGUCUGGGAAACUGCCUGAUGGAGGGGGAUAACUACUGGAAACGGUAGCUAAUACCGCAUAACGUCGCAAGACCAAAGAGGGGGACCUUCGGGCCUCUUGCCAUCAGAUGUGCCCAGAUGGGAUUAGCUAGUAGGUGGGGUAACGGCUCACCUAGGCGACGAUCCCUAGCUGGUCUGAGAGGAUGACCAGCCACACUGGAACUGAGACCCGGUCCAGACUCCUACGGUAGGCAGCAGUGGGGAAUAUUGCACAAUGGGCGCAAGCCUGAUGCAGCCAUGCCGCGUGUAUGAAGAAGGCCUUCGGGUUGUAAAGUACUUUCAGCGGGGAGGAAGGGAGUAAAGUUAAUACCUUGGCUCAUUGACGUUACCCGCAGAAGAAGCACCGGCUAACUCCGUG